RNAcentral lists this ribosomal RNA (465 nucleotides) under uncultured bacterium. RNAcentral describes it as "bacterial SSU rRNA". It matches the Rfam family "Bacterial small subunit ribosomal RNA", at positions 338 to 795 of the family's 1533-position model. The record is from RNAcentral.
CCUACGGGUUGCAGCAGUGGGGAAUAUUGCACAAUGGGCGCAAGCCUGAUGCAGCCAUGCCGCGUGUAUGAAGAAGGCCUUCGGGUUGUAAAGUACUUUCAGCGAGGAGGAAGGCAUUAAGGUUAAUAACCUUGGUAAUUGACGUUACUCGCAGAAGAAGCACCGGCUAACUCCGUGCCAGCAGCCGCGGUAAUACGGAGGGUGCAAGCGUUAAUCGGAAUUACUGGGCGUAAAGCGCACGCAGGCGGUUUGUUAAGUCGGAUGUGAAAUCCCCGGGCUCAACCUGGGAACUGCAUUCGAAACUGGCAAGCUUGAGUCUUGUAGAGGGGGGUAGAAUUCCAGGUGUAGCGGUGAAAUGCGUAGAGAUCUGGAGGAAUACCGGUGGCGAAGGCGGCCCCCUGGACAAAGACUGACGCUCAGGUGCGAAAGCGUGGGGAGCAAACAGGAUUAGAUACCCGAGUAGUC